AUUUUCUUAGGUGUUACACAUUUACAAUCGACACUUACAAUUAUCAGGCAAUUCGAUAAGAACCCAAACAACAUUGUGGUCUAUAAAUUUUAACUCUUCUUUCAUAACUUCUAUCUAUUUAUUAGAAUUAUCACUUUUGAUAUAUUGUGAAAACGUAAUUGGAUCUGUUCCUAUCCCAUUAUCAAAAUCAAAUUCUUGUAGAUAUAGCACAUAAUUAUUUGAUUUAGCAGAUUUUCUUUUCCUUUAAAAUCUUUUUAAAGGCAUUGACUGG
RNAcentral lists this long non-coding RNA (271 nucleotides) under Carica papaya (papaya). RNAcentral's name for it is "long non-coding RNA (CPAP_LNC005022)". Lineage: Eukaryota; Viridiplantae; Streptophyta; Magnoliopsida; Brassicales; Caricaceae. The record is from RNAcentral.